This 573-nucleotide non-coding RNA is filed under the name Otolemur garnettii (small-eared galago). RNAcentral describes it as "c-sis internal ribosome entry site (IRES)". It matches the Rfam family "c-sis internal ribosome entry site (IRES)". From Rfam's summary of the family: This family represents the c-sis 5'-UTR which contains three modules that can individually mediate internal ribosome entry. The record is from Rfam by way of RNAcentral. Lineage: Eukaryota; Metazoa; Chordata; Mammalia; Primates; Galagidae.
CGGAGCAGCCGCAGCUUGCAGAACGCAGAGGACGCCCGGUGCGGCGAACCCGCGGGCAGACGGACCGAAGGACUCACGCCGCCUCCACCUGUCGGCCGAGCGCGCAACCGUGCCCGCCGACCGGGCCCUGAGCCAGGGCGCACACGCUCCCGCCCCCCGCCCAGCCCAGGCGGGAGUUUACACCUCUCCCCGCCCGGGUGCUCGGGCCGCUGCUGUAAAGCCAACUUUGGAAAAAGUUUUUGGGGGGUGAUUUGAGCCUUGAGGUGCUCAGCCCUGUGCUUCGCGAUUUGGGGGGACCUUUCCAGAAAAUGUUGCAAAAAAGCUAAGCCGGCGGGCAGAGGAAAACGCCUUUAGCCAGAGAGUGAAGACGAAACAUCGACUGCUGUGUUCCUUUUCCUCUUGGAGGUUGGAGUCCCCUGGGCGCCCCCACACGGCUAGACGCCUCGGCUGGUUCGUUACGCAGCCCCCCGGCCGUGGAUGCUCACUCGGGCUUGGGAUCCGCCCAGGUAGCGGCCUCGGACCCAGGUCCCCGCACCCAGGUCCUCCCCAGUCCCCCAGCUACGGAGCCGGGGC